GCGCGAUUAGCUCAGUGGCAGAGCGUUCCGUUCACAUCGGAAAGGUCGCUGGUUCGAUCCCAGCAUCGCGCA
RNAcentral lists this transfer RNA (72 nucleotides) under Patescibacteria group bacterium. RNAcentral describes it as "tRNA-Val". It matches the Rfam family "tRNA". From Rfam's summary of the family: Transfer RNA (tRNA) molecules are approximately 80 nucleotides in length. Their secondary structure includes four short double-helical elements and three loops (D, anti-codon, and T loops). Further hydrogen bonds mediate the characteristic L-shaped molecular structure. tRNAs have two regions of fundamental functional importance: the anti-codon, which is responsible for specific mRNA codon recognition, and the 3' end, to which the tRNAs corresponding amino acid is attached (by aminoacyl-tRNA synthetases). tRNAs cope with the degeneracy of the genetic code in two manners: having more than one tRNA (with a specific anti-codon) for a particular amino acid; and 'wobble' base-pairing, i.e. permitting non-standard base-pairing at the 3rd anti-codon position. The record is from RNAcentral.